RNAcentral lists this ribosomal RNA (450 nucleotides) under uncultured bacterium. RNAcentral's name for it is "bacterial SSU rRNA". It matches the Rfam family "Bacterial small subunit ribosomal RNA", at positions 354 to 796 of the family's 1533-position model. The record is from RNAcentral.
GUGGGGAAUAUUGGACAAUGGGCGAAAGCCUGAUCCAGCCAUGCCGCGUGUGUGAAGAAGGUCUUCGGAUUGUAAAGCACUUUAAGUUGGGAGGAAGGGCAGUAAGUUAAUACCUUGCUGUUUUGACGUUACCAACAGAAUAAGCACCGGCUAACUUCGUGCCAGCAGCCGCGGUAAUACGAAGGGUGCAAGCGUUAAUCGGAAUUACUGGGCGUAAAGCGCGCGUAGGUGGUUCAGCAAGUUGGAGGUGAAAUCCCCGGGCUCAACCUGGGAGCUGCCUCCAAAACUACUGAGCUAGAGUACGGUAGAGGGUAGUGGAAUUUCCUGUGUAGCGGUGAAAUGCGUAGAUAUAGGAAGGAACACCAGUGGCGAAGGCGACUACCUGGACUGAUACUGACACUGAGGUGCGAAAGCGUGGGGAGCAAACAGGAUUAGAAACCCUGGUAGUCC